Molecule: transfer RNA, 63 nt
Filed under: Bicellonychia lividipennis
Lineage: Eukaryota; Metazoa; Arthropoda; Insecta; Coleoptera; Lampyridae
Description: tRNA-Leu
Source: RNAcentral
UCUAAUGUGGCAGAUUAGUGCAAUAGAUUUAAGACCUAUAAAUAAAAUUAUUUUUCUUUAGAA